GGAAGGGUCGCAUAGUCUGGUCUAGUGCGCGCGACUGGAAAUCGCGUAGGCGGUAACACGCCUCGAGGGUUCGAAUCCCUCCCCUUCCGCCA
Molecule: transfer RNA, 92 nt
Filed under: Chloroflexia bacterium
Lineage: Bacteria; Bacillati; Chloroflexota; Chloroflexia
Description: tRNA-Ser
Rfam family: tRNA
About the family: Transfer RNA (tRNA) molecules are approximately 80 nucleotides in length.
Source: RNAcentral